Molecule: ribosomal RNA, 497 nt
Filed under: uncultured bacterium
Lineage: Bacteria
Description: partial 16S ribosomal RNA
Rfam family: Bacterial small subunit ribosomal RNA
Source: RNAcentral
GAUGAACGCUGGCGGCGUGCCUAACACAUGCAAGUCGAGCGAACGGACGAGGCUUUUGCUUCUCUGAUGUUAGGGGCGGGCGGGUGAGUAACACGAGGAUACCCUACCUAUAUGUCUGAGAUCACUUCGGGAAACCGGAGCUCACACCGGAUAAUAUUUUGAACCGCGGGGUUCAUAGGAGAGAGACGGUCUUGCUGUCACUAAUAGAGGGUUCCGCGCUGGAUUAGCUAGUUGGUAAGGUAACGGCCUACCAAGGCUACCAUGCGUGGCCGACCGGAGAGGGUGAUAGGCCACACUGGAACUGAGACACGGUCCAGACGCCUAAGGGAGGCAGCAGUAGGGAAUCUUCCGCAAUGGGCGAAAGCCUGACGGAGCAACGCCGCGUGAGUGAUGAAGGUCUUCGGAUCGUAAAACUCUGUUAUUAGGGAAGAACAGAUGUGUAAGUAACUGUGCACAUCUUGACGGUACCUAAUCAGAAAGCCACGGCUAACUACGUG